Plasmodium adleri (nom. inval.) is the source of this 2198-nucleotide non-coding RNA. Lineage: Eukaryota; Apicomplexa; Aconoidasida; Haemosporida; Plasmodiidae. The record is from RefSeq and is a predicted model, not a curated record.
AGCUAUUAAUAGUAUUUUGAUAUACACAUAUAAGUAAAUACUUUUGUUUUGUUUUGUUUUUUUUUAAAUAAAUUAUAAUAUAUAUUAUGACUUUUUAAUUUGACACAUGACUUAUAUUUAUGUGUAUGCUCAUUCUUUAAAUUUGAAAAUCCAUAAUAUAAAAUUAUUAUAUUAAUAUAUAUAUAUAUAUAUAUAUAUAUAUAUAUUUUUUUUCUCAUGUAUCAUAAAUAUAUUUUAAUUCUUUACACAGGGGCUUCAUUGUUCAGCUCUAUUUUUUUUUUUUUUUUUUUUUUUUUUUAUUUAACUUUUAAUUCUUUUCAUUAGUAUUUUUAUUUAUAUUAAAUUAUUUUAUUAUUUUUUUUUUUUUUUUGUACUAACUUUAUUUGUAACCGAUUUUUACUGUUUAUAUGUAUAUAUAUAUAUUGCAUCUUAAUUAUCGCCAUCCCAUUUUAUUUUAAUUCUCCUUUAUAUAUAUAUAUAUAUAUAUAUUUUUGUUGCAUAUUGUAUUUCUCAGAGGUACACUUUUGAUGUUUAUAAAUUUACAUAUUAACUUUUUUUUUUUUUUUUUUUUUUUAUUUCUUUUUCUUUUUGUUUUUAUACAAGGAUGUAGUUCUAUUUUUCUUAUUACAUUUUAUUUCUUUUUUUUUUUUUUUUUUUUCUUUUCUCCUUUUUUUUUCCAAACAUUCUUAUUUUUGAGUGUUUGAAAAAAUAGAGGAGGGAAAAAAAAAAAAAAUAAAAAUAAGAAAGAAAAAGAAAAAAGAAAAAAUGAUCAUCGAAAUCCUUAGAAAGCAUGGGAAGAAAUUCUCACCCUGAACCCAUAAAGUAGCUGAUUGUUUGCUCAUAAGUACCUGAAUUAUUGCGAUAAUGAAAGAAAAGAAAGGAAAAAAAACAAUAGCAUAUGGUUUGAUUCUUUCUUUUUUUUCGUAGUUAAUAAUCAUGAACAUGAGGUUGUAUAUAGGAUUAGAGCGGAAGUAAAUAAAAGCGCUUAUUUUAUUUUUACAAUAAAGCUCAUUGUCUUUUUGUAAUUGUAAAAAAAAAAAAAAAAAAUGAAAAACAAAAAACAAAAAUAAAAAGAGGAAAAAAAAAAAAGAAAAGAAAAAGGAUAGAGACAAGGAGAAUUCUCCUUUUUUUUUGUCUAUGUUUUUUUUUUUUUUUUUUUUUUUUUUCCUCUUUUUAUUUUUGUUUUUUGUUUUUCAUUUUUUUUUUUUUUUUUUCAAGAAAUCAAAAAGAUCCUUAUACUUCAAUCAGAUAACCAAAUGUUGCGCUAUUAAUAUCUCUCAAGUCGACCAGGAGAUAAUGUUAUCUUAAUUUUUUUUUUUUUUUUUUUUUUUUUUUUUCCUUUUAAUUAUUUUAUAAUUUUUUUCUUUUUGAUGUUUUAUUAUUUUUUUUUUUAUUAUUAUGGUUGUGAGAUAUAUGUAUUAAUACUUUUCUCAUUUGUUUUUUUUCUUUUGCACACCAAACAUUCAUUUUUGAAUGCCUAAAUACAAGAAGGAAAGGAGGAGAUGAGAGAAGGAUAGUAUUUAUAUGCUCAUAAUUAUAAUAUGAAAGGAAGAGGGUAAAAUAUUAAAAAGGGGAAAUUAUUAAAAUAUUAAGGGGGAAAAAAGAAAAAAAAAAAAAUGAAAAAUUAGAUAUACACACACGGAGAAAUAAUAUAUAUAUAUAUAUAUAUAUAUAUAUAUAUAUAUAUAUAUAUAUAUAUAUAUCAUUUCGAAGUAAGAAAGAAAAUUUAAUUUAAUUUUCUUUAUAAAUAUGGUCGGAAUCUAUCGGCAUUUAUUUCAAGAAUUUAUAUAUAUAUAUAUUUAUAUAUUUAUAUAACUUGUUGAAAAAAAUGUUUUCUUUCAUGGAGCUGUUAACUCAGCGUGAAUACAAUAACAGGUUGUUUCAUUACACACAUGAAUACGAUGGAAAAAAAAAAAAGGCGAAGAUACAUUUCAAAUAUAUUUAUAUAUUCAGAAAUGAUAUCGAAAUUCGAUCUGCCUAAAUAAAAGAAAUUCAGAAAAUAUCUUUUUUCUUUUAUAAUAGUUAGCACAUUUUAAAUGAACUAUGGCAUGUCAGGGUUCAAAAUAUAUAUAUAUAUAUAUAUAUGUGAGUGUUUUUUCUUAGCGAUUUCUUAUAUGAUGAUCUUAGAAAUAUAUAUAUAUAAUUAAAAUUAUUACUCAUUUAUGAGGAAUAUAACAUUGUAUUAAUUAUUUUGUAUA